RNAcentral lists this non-coding RNA (216 nucleotides) under Tardiphaga robiniae. Lineage: Bacteria; Pseudomonadati; Pseudomonadota; Alphaproteobacteria; Hyphomicrobiales; Nitrobacteraceae. RNAcentral also lists the same sequence under 1 other name. The record is from RNAcentral.
ACCAAAUGUAGAUGUCACGGUCCGCCAUGUCGCAAGAUUUGGUGGCUAAGAGGGAAGUCGGUGAAGACGCUGUUUUGCGUCAUAUUCCGGCGCUGCCCCCGCAACUGUAAGCGGUGAGUCUGUUUCAAUUGAAGUCACUGAUGCCGCAAGCGUCGGGAAGGCUGAAACAGACGACGACCUGCGAGCCAGGAGACCUGCCGCGACACCAGAACGUCC